GUGCUCGCUUUGACACCACAUAUAGUAAAAUUGGAACGAUACAGAGAAGAUUAGUGUGGCCCCUGAGCAAGGAUGACACGCAAAUUUGUGAAGCGUUCCAUAUUUUU
Heterocephalus glaber (naked mole-rat) is the source of this 107-nucleotide small nuclear RNA. NCBI's taxonomy places the organism in Eukaryota, Metazoa, Chordata, Mammalia, Rodentia, Bathyergidae. The record is from Ensembl.